This 884-nucleotide ribosomal RNA is filed under the name uncultured archaeon. RNAcentral's name for it is "bacterial SSU rRNA". It matches the Rfam family "Archaeal small subunit ribosomal RNA", at positions 1 to 899 of the family's 1478-position model. The record is from RNAcentral.
UUCCGGUUGAUCCUGCCGGAGGCCACUGCUAUUGGGAUCCGACUAAGCCAUGCGAGUCGAGAGGGUUCGGCCCUCGGCAGACUGCUCAGUAACACGUGGAUAAUCUACCCUUAGGUGGAGGAUACUCUCGGGAAACUGAGAAUAAUACUCCAUAUAUCUAGGAUGCUGGAAUGCACCUAGAUUGAAAGUUCCGGCGCCUAAGGAUGAGUCUGCGGACUAUCAGGUAGUAGUCAGGGUAAAGACCUGACUAGCCUACGACGGAUACGGGUUGUGAGAGCAAUAACCCGGAGACGAUAUCUGAGACACGAUAUCGGGCCCUACGGGGCGCAGCAGGCGCGAAAACUUCACACUGUGCGAAAGCACGAUGAGGGAAUCCCAAGUGCCAACUCGUAAGAGUUGGCUGUUUCUCUGUCUAAAAAACAGAGAGAGUAAGAGCUGGGUAAGACGGGUGCCAGCCGCCGCGGUAAUACCUGCAGCUCAAGUGGUGGCCACUAUUAUUGGGCCUAAAACGUCCGUAGCCGGUUUAAUAAAUGCCGGGGUAAAUCGUGUAGCUUAACUAUACGAAUUCCGGGUAGACUGUUAGACUUGAGACCGGGAGAAGCUAGAGGUACUCCUGGGGUAGAGGUGAAAUUCUGUAAUCCUAGGGGGACCACCAGUGGCGAAAGCGUCUAGCUAGAACGGGUCUGACGGUGAGGGACGAAGCCCUGGGGCGCAAACCGGAUUAGAUACCCGGGUAGUCCAGGGUGUAAACGCUGCUUGCUGAUGUUAGUUGGGCUCCGAGCCCAACUAGUGUCGGAGAGAAGUUGUUAAGCGAGCUGCCUGGGAAGUACGUCGCAGCUGAAACUUAAAGGAAUUGCGGGGAGCACAGCACGGGUGAGCGUGCG